Long non-coding RNA from Talpa occidentalis (Iberian mole), 983 nucleotides. RefSeq lists it as uncharacterized. NCBI's taxonomy places the organism in Eukaryota, Metazoa, Chordata, Mammalia, Eulipotyphla, Talpidae. The record is from RefSeq and is a predicted model, not a curated record. The transcript is spliced from 3 exons.
GGAAUGAAAACCGUCACCAGCAUUCUGCCUGGUGAAUUUUGAAUCAAAGCAAAGGAGAGGCUGAGAGAGCAGAUUAUCUUCAUGUGCCCGGCCAUCAACCUAGCCAUUUCCAUGUCUCGACUGUGUUUCUUUUUGACCAGGACCAUUUUGAAUGGACUCUCAUGUCACAAAGACCAGGUCAUCUUCUCUCAUGUGGAGUGAAAUGGUCCACGGUGAUGUCUGAACUGGUAUGCCGCAAAGUGUCAACAUCAGAGUCUUUCUAUGUUGGGAAAGUCUCUCCUUUAUUUGGACAAAGGGGAUGUCUCCUGUUCUUCCUAAUGACAGUUUUGGCUGACUAGUGAGGAUCACAUUAAUACAUAAAGUAUCCUGUGGAACAGAAAUUUGAUGAUAUGAUUUGAAAUCUCUGUAUCACCCUCAAACAGCUUCCAGAAAGAUCGCUACCAUGUCUAAAAAAAUCUUUACUGAGCUAUUAUUUAGAAGUGUUCCAGAAAAAAAUUACUAAACUUAGCUGAGGCUUAUUAUCACUUGUGAUAGCACCGUGACAUAGUUUAACAGAACUGAACAUUCUACUAUCAUAAAAAAAUUUAUGUGAUCAACAUUUUCUUAUCUCAUCUAGCCUAGCAUAGUGGCCUGAGGAAAUGGGUCCUGAUAUAGUAAUGAGAUGGGAUAUGGAUUAGAUUUUUCUAAGUUAGGUUUCUAUUCUGGGUAAAGUAAGCUGCAGGGCUUUGUGUGUGUAUGUCUAAGCACAGGGCUUUGAUUUAUGAGUAAGAAGGAAUUAAAAACAGGAGAUAAAAAAUGAUGUUAUAUGCCCUCAAAUGUAUGGAUUAAAAAAAGGCACUAACCAAAAACUCUACGUAGGUUCAUCACAUUUUUGUCCUGGACUGUUCUUUUGGAUGAGGAGCAGGCUUACUCCUGACAUCUAUGGGGCUGGGUAAGAGUCAAAUUUAAGCCCCAGUUUCACAUACCUAUUUGUGUAAAAGCUA